AUUGAACGCUGGCGGCAUGCUUUACACAUGCAAGUCGAACGGCAGCGCGGGCUUCGGCCUGGCGGCGAGUGGCGAACGGGUGAGUAAUACAUCGGAACGUGCCCAGUAGUGGGGGAUAGCUCGGCGAAAGCCGGAUUAAUACCGCAUACGACCUGAGGGUGAAAGCGGGGGAUCUUCGGACCUCGCGCUAUUGGAGCGGCCGAUGGCAGAUUAGCUAGUUGGUGGGGUAAAGGCCUACCAAGGCGACGAUCUGUAGCUGGUCUGAGAGGACGACCAGCCACACUGGGACUGAGACACGGCCCAGACUCCUACGGGAGGCAGCAGUGGGGAAUUUUGGACAAUGGGCGAAAGCCUGAUCCAGCAAUGCCGCGUGUGUGAUGAAGGCCUUGGGGUUGUAAAGCACUUUUGGCGGGAACGAAAAGGACUGUGCCAAUACCACGGUUCGAUGACGGUACCCGCAGAAUAAGCACCGGCUAACUACGUG
This 484-nucleotide ribosomal RNA is filed under the name uncultured bacterium. RNAcentral's name for it is "partial 16S ribosomal RNA". It matches the Rfam family "Bacterial small subunit ribosomal RNA", at positions 29 to 507 of the family's 1533-position model. The record is from RNAcentral.